Molecule: long non-coding RNA, 327 nt
Filed under: Elaeis guineensis (African oil palm)
Lineage: Eukaryota; Viridiplantae; Streptophyta; Magnoliopsida; Arecales; Arecaceae
Description: long non-coding RNA (EGUI_LNC047096)
Source: RNAcentral
CAAUUCCCUAAGACAGAGUCAGAGGUUCGAACAGAAAGAAUAACCAACCCCUCCUCAGUCGAAGUAGGGGUUGGUUCCGAGCUUGCAACUUUGGUUCAACCGGGUGAAUGAAGAGGCCCCCCUGUCACUUGGGGGGCAAACGGUGAAGAUCGGCAUGGCAAUAUGUUCCCCGCCACACUAACUUGAAUUGGGGAGGCAAGGAGUAUCUUGGCUAGAACCGAUGAGCUACCUUUGAUCGGCUACCUUGAUGCUUGACUAGGAUCAAACUACUCCUGAGAGCAUCAACCCAUUGCUGCUUCUGCUGAACCUCGGGAGCACCUGAGAUCU